This 290-nucleotide ribosomal RNA is filed under the name uncultured Bacteroides sp. Its description in RNAcentral is "partial 16S ribosomal RNA". It matches the Rfam family "Bacterial small subunit ribosomal RNA", at positions 58 to 339 of the family's 1533-position model. Lineage: Bacteria; Pseudomonadati; Bacteroidota; Bacteroidia; Bacteroidales; Bacteroidaceae. The record is from RNAcentral.
CAAGUCGAGGGGCAGCAUUUCAGUUUGCUUGCAAACUGGAGAUGGCGACCGGCGCACGGGUGAGUAACACGUAUCCAACCUGCCGAUAACUCGGGGAUAGCCUUUCGAAAGAAAGAUUAAUACCCGAUGGCAUAAUAUUCCCGCAUGGGAUUAUUAUUAAAGAAUUUCGGUAAAAGAUGGGGAUGCGUUCCAUUAGGCAGUUGGCGGGGUAACGGCCCACCAAACCUUCGAUGGAUAGGGGUUCUGAGAGGAAGGUCCCCACAUUGGAACUGAGACACGGUCCAGACUCC